AACGAACGCUGGCGGCAGGCCUAACACAUGCAAGUCGAACGCCGUAGCAAUACGGAGUGGCAGACGGGUGAGUAACACGUGGGAACGUACCCUUCGGUUCGGGAUAACUCAGGGAAACUUGAGCUAAUACCGGAUACGUCCGAGAGGAGAAAGAUUUAUCGCCGAGGGAUCGGCCCGNGUCUGAUUAGCUUGUUGGUGAGGUAACGGCUCACCAAGGCGACGAUCAGUAGCUGGUCGAGAGAUGAUCAGCCACAUUGGGACUGAGACACGGCCCAAACUCCUACGGGAGGCAGCAGUGGGGAAUAUUGGACAAUGGGCGCAAGCCUGAUCCAGCCAUGCCGCGUGAGUGAUG
RNAcentral lists this ribosomal RNA (352 nucleotides) under uncultured bacterium. RNAcentral describes it as "bacterial SSU rRNA". It matches the Rfam family "Bacterial small subunit ribosomal RNA", at positions 29 to 410 of the family's 1533-position model. The record is from RNAcentral.